Molecule: ribosomal RNA, 253 nt
Filed under: uncultured bacterium
Lineage: Bacteria
Description: partial 16S ribosomal RNA
Rfam family: Bacterial small subunit ribosomal RNA
Source: RNAcentral
UACGUAGGGUGCGAGCGUUAAUCGGAAUUACUGGGCGUAAAGCGUGCGCAGGCGGAUUGUUAAGCAAGAUGUGAAAUCCCCGGGCUUAACCUGGGAAUGGCAUUUUGAACUGGCAGUCUAGAGUGCGGCAGAGGGGGGUGGAAUUCCACGUGUAGCAGUGAAAUGCGUAGAGAUGUGGAGGAACACCGAUGGCGAAGGCAGCCCCCUGGGCUGACACUGACGCUCAUGCACGAAAGCGUGGGGAGCAAACAGG